Molecule: ribosomal RNA, 99 nt
Filed under: uncultured bacterium
Lineage: Bacteria
Description: partial 16S ribosomal RNA
Rfam family: Bacterial small subunit ribosomal RNA
Source: RNAcentral
CACACCGCCCGUCACAUCACGAAAAGUCCGUUGCUCUUGAAAGUCGCCGAGCUAACCGCAAGGAGGCAGGCGCCGACGGAGUGGCGGGCGAUUGGGGUG